GACGAACGCUGGCGGCGUGCUUAACACAUGAAAGUCGAACGGAAAGGCCCUGCUUUUGUGGGGUGCUCGAGUGGCGAACGGGUGAGUAACACGUGAGUAACCUGCCCUUGCCUUUGGGAUAACUUCGGGAAACUGGGGCUAAUACCGGAUAGGAGCUCCUGCUGAAUGGUGGGGGUGGGAAAGUUUCGGCGGUUGGGGAUGGACUCGCGGCUUAUCAGCUUGUUGGUGGGGUAGUGGCUUACCAAGGCUUUGACGGGUAGCCGGCCUGAGAGGGUGACCGGCCACAUUGGGACUGAGAUACGGCCCAGACUCCUACGGGAGGCAGCAGUGGGGAAUAUUGCACAAUGGGCGGAAGCCUGAUGCAGCAACGCCGCGUGCGGGAUGACGGCCUUCGGGUUGUAAACCGCUUUCGCCUGUGACGAAGCGUGAGUGACGGUAAUGGGUAAAGAAGCACCGGCUAACUACGUG
Molecule: ribosomal RNA, 468 nt
Filed under: uncultured bacterium
Lineage: Bacteria
Description: partial 16S ribosomal RNA
Rfam family: Bacterial small subunit ribosomal RNA
Source: RNAcentral